Molecule: ribosomal RNA, 272 nt
Filed under: uncultured bacterium
Lineage: Bacteria
Description: partial small subunit ribosomal RNA
Rfam family: Bacterial small subunit ribosomal RNA
Source: RNAcentral
AGAAUCAACGCUGGCGGCGUGCCUCAGACAUGCAAGUCGAACGCGAAAGUCCCCUUCGGGGGCAAGUAGAGUGGCGCACGGGUGAGUAACACGUAGGUAAUCUACCUUUGGAUGGGGAAUAACAGUCGGAAACAGCUGCUAAUACCGCAUAAUGCAGCGGCACCUAAUGGUGACAGUUGUUAAAGCGGGGGAUCGAAAGACCUCGCGUCUGAAGAGGAGCCUGCGGCGGAUUAGCUAGUUGGUAAGGUAAUGGCUUACCAAGGCUACGAUCC